UGAGGAAUAUUGGUCAAUGGACGGGAGUCUGAACCAGCCAAGUAGCGUGCAGGAUGACGGCCCUACGGGUUGUAAAGCACUUUCGGAGGGGAGGAAAAAAUAGACGUUACCCUCAGAAGAAGCACCGGCUAACUCCGUGCCAGCAGCCGCGGUAAUACGGAGGGUGCAAGCGUUAAUCGGAAUAACUGGGCGUAAAGGGCAUGCAGGCGGUUCAUCAAGUAGGAUGUGAAAUCCCCGGGCUCAACCUGGGAACAGCAUACUAAACUGGUGGACUAGAGUAUUGCAGGGGGAGACGGAAUUCCAGGUGUAGCGGUGGAAUGCGUAGAUAUCUGGAAGAACACCAAAGGCGAAGGCAGUCUCCUGGGCAAAUACUGACGCUC
This 380-nucleotide ribosomal RNA is filed under the name uncultured Succinivibrio sp. RNAcentral's name for it is "bacterial SSU rRNA". It matches the Rfam family "Bacterial small subunit ribosomal RNA", at positions 355 to 748 of the family's 1533-position model. Lineage: Bacteria; Pseudomonadati; Pseudomonadota; Gammaproteobacteria; Aeromonadales; Succinivibrionaceae. The record is from RNAcentral.